CCGGUGUCGGUGACCGAUCAU
This 21-nucleotide non-coding RNA is filed under the name Arabidopsis thaliana (thale cress). The record is from RNAcentral. Lineage: Eukaryota; Viridiplantae; Streptophyta; Magnoliopsida; Brassicales; Brassicaceae.